Long non-coding RNA from Sebastes umbrosus (honeycomb rockfish), 523 nucleotides. RefSeq lists it as uncharacterized. The transcript has 3 exons. NCBI's taxonomy places the organism in Eukaryota, Metazoa, Chordata, Actinopteri, Perciformes, Sebastidae. The record is from RefSeq and is a predicted model, not a curated record.
ACGUCCCCGUGAUCGAUGCACGUGCGUUGGUUCCCACAGCACCACCAUGCUUGCUGGGAGUUCUAGAUGUCUUUGGCAGUGAACGACAAGUCUCAUUCUCCAGACUGCCACUUUGUCACUUAGCCUGGUAGUCCCUUGCUUCAUAAUACAGAUGGAACUAAUAGCUGUAAUAAUAAUAUAAAUAUAACUAAUACUAUUAAUAAUAAAAAGGCGGAUAAUAAUGAUGGUAGCAGUGGGUGUCGAGCAGGCAGCAGACGCGGCAGCAGAUGCAACCACAAUCCAGGUGUAACCCUGAUCUAGGUGUAACCCUGCUCCAGGUGUAACCCCGAUCCAUGUGUAGCCCCACUCCAUGUGUAACCCUGAUCCAGAUGUAACCCCGCUCCAGGUGUAACCCCGCUCCAGGUGUAACCCCGAUCCAGGUGUAACCCCGCUCCAGGUGUAACUCCGAUCCAGGUGUAACCCCGCUCCAGGUGUAAUCCCGAUCCAUGGUUACCUGGGAGACGAGAAAGCACAAGGACUCCGG